UAGCAUACCGCACCGUACCAUACAGAAUUUAAUAUUUGUGAGCAUAUUUGCGGACGGCUAUGGAAUGGUAUAGAACAGAAUAGAAGCACAAGAACGUCGAGAAGACGAAGAAGCACAUCUAGAAGAAUUGAAGACAGAACGCGCAAUGACAAAGUAAACUCUUUUAUCGGUAUUCGUAACGUGUGUGCAAGAAGUACUGGAUAAAUUCUAAACGCUGUCGUUGACUUAGAAAGUAUUCCAAAUAAUAAGCACAUGAAGAACAAGAAGUGGGCAAUUCUUCUGUAAGCUUACCGGCAUUCUUUUUUGCCAUUUUCCAUCUGAAGAUCACAGAUCAAGAACCCGAAGAAGUAGGGAAAAUGGGCAACAAAGCCCUCCAUGGCCUUGCAUAACAAAUUGCUAUGUUCAUAAUUGAUUUGAGACUCCUGCAUGCAACAGUUUAGGGGGCAAAAAGAAAGAUACGGCCAGCAGAGAGAUAGGAAGACAGUUGUGAGAAAAGAAAGCGGAAGAGGGGGUGCAAGCUAAAGAGAUUGUACUGAUUAUGCAAUGCCCCCAAAAAGAAUAUCAUUAUUCCUAUCUCCGACUCCGACUUAUACAGACAUAUGAACAUGCAUGGACAACUACAGUGAUGCCUCGGAAGUUGCUUCUAAAACACGUUCGAGUUGUUCAACUCCACCAAUUCCAAUCCAAUAUGAUAAUAGAAAAUUAAUAAAAAGUGUUCCUAUGAACACGAUAGUGCCUAUUGCUUGUUUACACUAACCCGUUCUCUGAUUUACAAGUGGGAAAUUGUUGAUGAAACUCACACCAUUAAUAAAUAAUGAUAUACUGAUUGCAAGGCCCGAUUUCUAGAUGUGUUUAUUAUUUUAAUACUCGGCACUGUCAGGAGAACGGGGUAUAUUCAAUAUACUAUAUUGUAUUUGUGUAACAUCGAGAAGGUUUUGCUGUUUCGAUCCGAUAAAGUGUAUGCAUGUAUGUAUGAUCUUUUCGAUUAGGUUGGAAAUGUUUUGUAAUCAGUUCUUAUUGAAAUCCAAGAUAAGGUAAUCUUAGGCAUAUUAUUUGACCAGAACUUAGGCUUGUUCCAUUGCGUUAUUUUGAAACAUUUCUUAUCUACAGGUCAGCGAAGCAGGUUGUCUCACUUAGCCAGCAACCACUGUGCUGCACAUUGAGACCGCAUAUGAACGGUCGGUGGUAAAGAGAUGGCAAAUCGAGGUGAGGUGAGCUCCGGAAGAAGACACACCAGCACACCAGCACACACACACACACGAGUGAUUACAGUGGCCAGCGUGUCUGUGUGAGGAAAUGUGCACUCACAAGCAUCUGCAAGUUCAACCAUAAUAAAAAAUUAAAGAGAGGAUUGUAAUGUGUUGGACGUUUGUUUGUAUGUUUUGUUUAUUUCUUUUCUUUGCCGUCAGUUGGUGAGAUAUUAAUUUCGAUAGUCGCUCGAUAUCGAUAGCUGCGUUUAGGUAUCAGGUUUAUCUGAUUAUGUAAACAAUUUUACUCAACUGUGCCCCGAUAUGGUAUGCACACAUACAUAAGAGUACCACCGAACCAAACCUAGAUAAAUGCUGAUAUUUUCGUUUCGCGGAAACACUCGAAUAAAUAUUACGAUUAAGAUUCUACAGAACUGAAAAGAAAACAAAAAAGAAAUAGACUUAUAUGCGUGCAAAGUAAAGCUUCGAGCAAACAAAUAGAAGCGCUGAUAAUGAAGAUUAUGGCAAUGAUGAUGAUGACGGAGAGCAAGGAUAUUAAAUCAAAAAAAAGAAAAAGAAAUAUAUACAACAACUAGCGCUACGAAGGGGCUGUAAGCCAAGUCAACAGACCGCUUCCACAAAAGGAAUUGCGUGUGGGCGGGUGGGAGUGCCGAGAAGAAAGGAAACAGCUUGGAAGAACAGGAAUCAAAACUGGCAACAAGGGGAAAAAGCCAGGCCAAAAACUAGAUGAAAAACUUGGCAAUGGCCAAAGAUAAGCCUCAGAUGAGAGGAGCGAAUAGCAAACACAGAACCGAGGAACCGAAGAACGCCGAUGCGAAAGAACCACGAACCCAGAAGCAAAGAAGAAACCAGCCAGAAGAAAGAACCAGGCGCGCUCAAUAGACAAGUUUCAUAUGCAGCAAACUUGCCCAUAAAAGCAUCAAAGAUGCAGCGCCCUCUCUUCACAUCUUCCCAACAGCGUU
This is a long non-coding RNA of Drosophila simulans, 2170 nucleotides long. RefSeq lists it as uncharacterized. NCBI's taxonomy places the organism in Eukaryota, Metazoa, Arthropoda, Insecta, Diptera, Drosophilidae. The record is from RefSeq and is a predicted model, not a curated record. The transcript has 2 exons.